Molecule: long non-coding RNA, 325 nt
Organism: Gallus gallus (chicken)
Lineage: Eukaryota; Metazoa; Chordata; Aves; Galliformes; Phasianidae
Source: Ensembl
GCCUCCUAGAAUGGUGAGGAAUUCUAAUGCCACCAUCUCCCAGUUUACACUGGUCUCCCCCUAGGUGUUCGAGCACCUGAUGAUUACUGUAUUCAUUACACAAGAGCCGUACAGCCUUUGAAAAGAAGCACUCAGAUGCAAGUCAACCACAAGACAUAUAUUUUCUCCCCAGCAUUCACAAGAACUGGCCUUGAUGGUGAAAGAUCACACACGUGCUAACCAGAAAGAGGGAGGUCACAGCAUCUGUGAAACCUGCAGCAGAUUUUCUGUACCAGGAUAAUCAUUCCUCUCCAGGUGGCACCACUCUGCUGGGUGGAAAGGGCUG